Molecule: regulatory RNA element, 132 nt
Organism: Sharpea azabuensis
Lineage: Bacteria; Bacillati; Bacillota; Erysipelotrichia; Erysipelotrichales; Coprobacillaceae
Rfam family: Ribosomal protein L20 leader
About the family: This family is a putative r-protein leader autoregulatory structure found in B. subtilis and other low-GC Gram-positive bacteria. It is located in the 5' untranslated regions of mRNAs encoding initiation factor 3 followed by ribosomal proteins L35 and L20 (infC-rpmI-rplT). A Rho-independent transcription terminator structure that is probably involved in regulation is included at the 3' end.
Source: Rfam
AGUGGAAAGAAGAAGUGCUCGCUUCUCGCCUGACUGAUGGAUGUUGGUAGGCAAAUGUCACUGAAGAUAUUAAUGUAUUAAUUCUUUGGGAUGUUUAUGCGGGUGCUUAUGCACCUGCUUUUUUAUUGUUAA